Molecule: ribosomal RNA, 239 nt
Filed under: uncultured bacterium
Lineage: Bacteria
Description: partial 16S ribosomal RNA
Rfam family: Bacterial small subunit ribosomal RNA
Source: RNAcentral
UGGGUAACCUGCCCCGAUGACCGGGACAACCCGGGGAAACUCGGGCUAAUACCGGAUGACUCCUUCGAGCUCAAGCUUGAAGGGAAAAGGAAGCUUCGGCCUCCGCAUUGGGAGGGGCCCGUGGCCCAUUAGCUUGUUGGUGAGGUAACGGCUCACCAAGGCGACGACGGGUAGCCGGCCUGAGAGGGCGAUCGGCCACACUGGGACUGAGACACGGCCCAGACUCCUACGGGAGGCAG